GAUGAACGCUGGCGGCGUGCCUAAUACAUGCAAGUCGAGCGAACAGAUAAGGAGCUUGCUCCUUUGACGUUAGCGGCGGACGGGUGAGUAACACGUGGAUAACCUACCUAUAAGACUGGGAUAACUUCGGGAAACCGGAGCUAAUACCGGAUAACAUAUUGAACCGCAUGGUUCAAUAGUGAAAGGCGGCUUUGCUGUCACUUAUAGAUGGAUCCGCGCCGUAUUAGCUAGUUGGUAAGGUAACGGCUUACCAAGGCAACGAUACGUAGCCGACCUGAGAGGGUGAUCGGCCACACUGGAACUGAGACACGGUCCAGACUCCUACGGGAGGCAGCAGUAGGGAAUCUUCCGCAAUGGGCGAAAGACUGACGGAGCAACGCCGCGUGAGUGAUGAAGGUCUUCGGAUCGUAAAACUCUGUUAUCAGGGAAGAACAAAUGUGUAAGUAACUGUGCACAUCUUGACGGUACCUGAUCAGAAAGCCACGGCUAACUACGUG
Molecule: ribosomal RNA, 497 nt
Filed under: uncultured bacterium
Lineage: Bacteria
Description: partial 16S ribosomal RNA
Rfam family: Bacterial small subunit ribosomal RNA
Source: RNAcentral